Molecule: ribosomal RNA, 253 nt
Filed under: uncultured bacterium
Lineage: Bacteria
Description: partial 16S ribosomal RNA
Rfam family: Bacterial small subunit ribosomal RNA
Source: RNAcentral
UACGGGGGGGGCAAGCGUUGUUCGGAAUUACUGGGCGUAAAGGGCUCGUAGGCGGCCAACUAAGUCGGAUGUGAAAUCCCCAGGCUUAACCUGGGAACUGCAUCCGAUACUGGAUGGCUUGAAUCCGGGAGAGGGAUGCAGAAUUCCAGGUGUAGCGGUGAAAUGCGUAGAUAUCAAGAGGAACACCUGCGGCGAAGGCGGGUUGCUGGGCCGACACUGACGCUGAUGCGCGAAAGCCAGGGGAGCGAACGGG